RNAcentral lists this ribosomal RNA (253 nucleotides) under uncultured bacterium. Its description in RNAcentral is "partial 16S ribosomal RNA". It matches the Rfam family "Bacterial small subunit ribosomal RNA", at positions 524 to 776 of the family's 1533-position model. The record is from RNAcentral.
UACGUAGGGUGCGAGCGUUAAUCGGAAUUACUGGGCGUAAAGCGUGCGCAGGCGGUUCGUUAAGUCAGAUGUGAAAGCCCCGGGCUCAACCUGGGAACUGCAUUUGAAACUGGCGGGCUUGAGUGUGGCAGAGGGGGGUGGAAUUCCGCGUGUAGCAGUGAAAUGCGUAGAGAUGCGGAGGAACACCGAUGGCGAAGGCAGCCCCCUGGGCCAACACUGACGCUGAGGCGCGAAAGCGUGGGGAGCAAACAGG